GCUCUGAAACGAAAACGACAAAACGGGGGCGUGAGAACUAUUAAAAAAAAAUAGUUCCCAGUGGGCAAUUACUGACUAUAGUGAACUGUGCCACGAGGCCCAAAAGCUACAAAAAGAAGGUCAGUGUACGAGUGUAAUAAAAGCAGUAAAUGCAACUGAUAAUUAAACAUGAAUGCUUACUACCAUAGGCUACUUCUACUUAGCAUGAAUUUGGCAUAAGUAAGAAAGCUAUUUUAAUACGUAUGUACCAAUACCUCAAAAGCGCAAUGUCCACAAGCUAAAUAGUAAAAUGUCAAUGUUUACUAUUCUAGUCAAUAUACUAAGUCAUCAUCUGUCCACAUGUCAUAGUGAAGUACCCAAAGUCAAAUCUGAAGAGACCCACCCGAAGGCUGUCUAAGGCCCUGAGACCCACCCGUAGGCUGUCUGGCCGGUGCCGAGCCUAAUGGCCCCGUGGUAGUCAUCAUCCCCACCCUAGGAAUGAGCCUGUCCCACGGCAAUCCACUUCGGCGCCCAAUCCCGCACGGCGAAUAUGAAUCACAAUGGCUAUCUCCGGAGUGCUGGCUUAUAGGGAGCGACCCUCACAAGCAUGUGCGAAUGAGCACAAUGUUAGGUAGUCACGUGUCCUGUCACAAGUACCAAGUCCUCAUGUCUAAUAGCAUAGAAUAUGUCACAUCUCUCAUAGGCCUAUCUCUAUGUCAUCAUGUCUCUAACAUGGAAUAUAGCAGAUGUACAACGGCCUAAUGCUAUGUCUUUAUGUUGCAGUUUCAUAGUUCACUAGUUUCAAGUGCCCCUUGAUGACACUCUUAUUCUCUAUGUCAAGCAUGAUAGAUAUAUUCUCAAGUACACAUUUCUAAUCAUUAUCCUCAUAGGUGACAUGUUCUCAACUUGCAAAGAUAAGCACUUUUCCAUAUGCAUGCAUUCUACUCAUAUAGCUCUACUAUAUAGUGAAAUUAUCAUGAUACACAGGACAUGCGUUUUAAAUGUUCUAAAAUUCAUAUAAAUUCCAUUUAGCAUAGAAAUGCAUUUACUUCCAUAAAAAGACAAGUAUUUUACUCAUAAGGGCCAUUUUGCCCCGAUUCAAGAAGCCAAACCAAUCGAUUUUUUGAACUCUUCGUUUCGCCGAACGAAGGUGUCCACAAGCCUCCUAGCACCCUAAGGAUGUAGGAAUAAGGGUUACUUGAAUGAAACGAACAACCAAUAGCUCAAACAUUAACCAUCUCUUACUAUGGGCAAAAAUUCACCUCUUAUGGCAAAUCUCAUCACAAGCUCAAAAAAGAGGCUAGAACCCUUCCAAUCCAAUCUAGAGGAAGGUUCUAAUCCAAGGAAUCAAGCCUCAAAAGCCCUAAAACGAAAAUGCCCAAAUAAACCCUAAAUUUCCAUUUCUAGGGUUUGAUCUCACAAAAACCUCAAAUUAAGGAUCAAAGGGAGAAAUCAAGUUUCUAACCUAUCAAGAAGCUCCAAACUUAGCUCAAAUCCAAGUGAUGUUGAAGAUCUCCACAGCCACUAGCUCCU
RNAcentral lists this long non-coding RNA (1512 nucleotides) under Ananas comosus (pineapple). RNAcentral describes it as "long non-coding RNA (ACOM_LNC038117)". Lineage: Eukaryota; Viridiplantae; Streptophyta; Magnoliopsida; Poales; Bromeliaceae. The record is from RNAcentral.